Small nucleolar RNA from Parambassis ranga (Indian glassy fish), 189 nucleotides. Its record names the gene U3. It matches the Rfam family "Small nucleolar RNA U3". From Rfam's summary of the family: Small nucleolar RNAs (snoRNAs) are involved in the processing and modification of rRNA in the nucleolus. There are two main classes of snoRNAs: the box C/D class, and the box H/ACA class. Lineage: Eukaryota; Metazoa; Chordata; Actinopteri; Ambassidae. The record is from Ensembl.
AAGACUUUACUCUCAGGGAUCAUUUCUAUAGUUCUAAACUUGAGAAAUGUGAUUUUUAAAGAGUUUGGUCUCGCUGCCCGCGAUGGAACAGUCAAGAUGUUUCCUUCAGAGCAGGCAGUCGAUGGAAGAAGAUUGAUCUUCUUCAUCAUUGGUGACUGUCUCUGUUGGAGGAAACCUGAUCUGAGUGGU